This 1888-nucleotide ribosomal RNA is filed under the name Cyanobacterium sp. CHAB TP201717.1. RNAcentral describes it as "bacterial SSU rRNA". The stretch from base 1 to 1482 matches the Rfam family "Bacterial small subunit ribosomal RNA". The record is from RNAcentral. Lineage: Bacteria; Bacillati; Cyanobacteriota; Cyanophyceae; Chroococcales; Geminocystaceae.
AGAGUUUGAUCCUGGCUCAGGAUGAACGCUGGCGGUCUGCCUAACACAUGCAAGUCGAACGAGCUCCUCGGAGCUAGUGGCGGACGGGUGAGUAACGCGUGAGAAUCUGCCUUCAGGACGGGGACAACAGCUGGAAACGGCUGCUAAAACCCGAUGUGCCGCAAGGUGAAAUAUUUAUAGCCUGAAGAUGAGCUCGCGUCUGAUUAGCUAGUUGGCAGUGUAAGAGACUACCAAGGCAACGAUCAGUAGCUGGUCUGAGAGGAUGAGCAGCCACACUGGGACUGAGACACGGCCCAGACUCCUACGGGAGGCAGCAGUGGGGAAUUUUCCGCAAUGGGCGAAAGCCUGACGGAGCAAGACCGCGUGAGGGAGGAAGGCCCUUGGGUUGUAAACCUCUUUUAUUAAGGAAGAAGUUCUGACGGUACUUAAUGAAUAAGCAUCGGCUAACUCCGUGCCAGCAGCCGCGGUAAUACGGAGGAUGCGAGCGUUAUCCGGAAUCAUUGGGCGUAAAGAGUCCGUAGGUGGUUAAACAAGUCUGCUGUCAAAGCAUGGAGCUUAACUCCAUCAAGGCAGUGGAAACUGUAUAACUAGAGUCUAGGAGGGGUAGAGGGAAUUCCCAGUGUAGCGGUGAAAUGCGUAGAGAUUGGGAAGAACACCGGUGGCGAAAGCGCUCUACUGGACUAGCACUGACACUGAGGGACGAAAGCUAGGGUAGCGAAAGGGAUUAGAUACCCCUGUAGUCCUAGCCGUAAACGAUGGAUACUAGGCGUAGCUCGUAUCGACCCGAGCUGUGCCGAAGCUAACGCGUUAAGUAUCCCGCCUGGGGAGUACGCACGCAAGUGUGAAACUCAAAGGAAUUGACGGGGGCCCGCACAAGCGGUGGAGUAUGUGGUUUAAUUCGAUGCAACGCGAAGAACCUUACCAAGACUUGACAUCCGACGAAUCUGCCUGAAAGGGUGGAGUGCCUUAGGGAGCGUCGUGACAGGUGGUGCAUGGCUGUCGUCAGCUCGUGUCGUGAGAUGUUGGGUUAAGUCCCGCAACGAGCGCAACCCUCGUCCUUAGUUGCCAGCUUUAAGUAGGGAACUCUAGGGAGACUGCCGGGGACAACUCGGAGGAAGGUGGGGAUGACGUCAAGUCAGCAUGCCCCUUACGUCUUGGGCUACACACGUACUACAAUGGUCAGGACAACGGGAAGCCAAACUGCAAAGUGGAGCGAAUCCCAGCAAACCUGGCCUCAGUUCAGAUUGGGGGCUGCAACUCGCCCCCAUGAAGGAGGAAUCGCUAGUAAUCGCAGGUCAGCAUACUGCGGUGAAUCCGUUCCCGGGCCUUGUACACACCGCCCGUCACACCAUGGGAGCUGGCCACGCCCGAAGUCGUUACUCCAACCGUUCGCGGAGGAGGACGCCGAAGGCAGGGCUAGUGACUGGGGUGAAGUCGUAACAAGGUAGCCGUACCGGAAGGUGUGGCUGGAUCACCUCCUUUAAGGGAGACCAACAUCAAGAAAAGUAGGGGCGUGAUACCCACGCCCAAAGCGAAAAACUUGAACAAUCCCAAGGUCGUGACUGAGGGGUUAAGAAAAAACUUUUAAACUAGGGCGUGAAAAAAACACGCCCCUACCCAGGUGAAGGAAACGGGCUAUUAGCUCAGUUGGUUAGAGCGCACCCCUGAUAAGGGUGAGGUCUCUGGUUCAAAUCCAGAAUGGCCCACCAUACUGGGGGGUAUAGCUCAGUUGGUAGAGCGCCUGCUUUGCAAGCAGGAUGUCAGCGGUUCGAGUCCGCUUACCUCCACCAAAAACAAGCACCUUGAAAACUGCAUAAGAAGAGAAAAAAGAAAAAAGGUCAAGCUAACAAGAGCUAACGGUGGAUACCUAGGCACACAGAGGCGAAGA